This 359-nucleotide long non-coding RNA is filed under the name Gopherus agassizii (Agassiz's desert tortoise). RNAcentral's name for it is "lncRNA (ENSGAGG00000008951.1)". Lineage: Eukaryota; Metazoa; Chordata; Testudines; Testudinidae. The record is from RNAcentral.
AUGAAAAUAUUUGAACAGCUGAGAAACUGCGCAGAGUGGGAGAUGAGUUUGGGGCCUGUGUGCUGGGGAGUUGCUGACUGGGUUGUCCUGUUCCAGCAGGUAGCCAGAGGCCUGGGUUCUGAAGUGCCUGGAAUGGAGCCUUGGCAUUCCUGCCAGGGAAUGGGCAGUCAGUCAUUUGAGCUGCAGGGCUGCCUGGAAGGAUGGCUCAUCCGAGCACAGCAAGUGAGUGUAAUUGUCACUGACCCUGUACUUGCCCCUUGUGUGCUGAUCCUUUCCCAUGUCCAGGGAAGAGCUGUCUCCUUGUGCUGGUGCACCCACCCCAUAGCAUGGUGCCUUCUGCCGGAAUUGACUAGCUCCAC